This 85-nucleotide transfer RNA is filed under the name Methanofollis liminatans. Its description in RNAcentral is "tRNA-Leu". It matches the Rfam family "tRNA". From Rfam's summary of the family: Transfer RNA (tRNA) molecules are approximately 80 nucleotides in length. Their secondary structure includes four short double-helical elements and three loops (D, anti-codon, and T loops). Further hydrogen bonds mediate the characteristic L-shaped molecular structure. tRNAs have two regions of fundamental functional importance: the anti-codon, which is responsible for specific mRNA codon recognition, and the 3' end, to which the tRNAs corresponding amino acid is attached (by aminoacyl-tRNA synthetases). tRNAs cope with the degeneracy of the genetic code in two manners: having more than one tRNA (with a specific anti-codon) for a particular amino acid; and 'wobble' base-pairing, i.e. permitting non-standard base-pairing at the 3rd anti-codon position. The record is from RNAcentral. RNAcentral also lists the same sequence under 3 other names. Lineage: Archaea; Methanobacteriati; Methanobacteriota; Methanomicrobia; Methanomicrobiales; Methanomicrobiaceae.
GCGAGGAUUGCCGAGCCAGGUCAAAGGCGAUAGGUUCAGGGCCUAUUCGCGCAGGCGUUCGCCGGUUCGAAUCCGGCUCCUCGCA